RNAcentral lists this ribosomal RNA (497 nucleotides) under uncultured bacterium. Its description in RNAcentral is "partial 16S ribosomal RNA". It matches the Rfam family "Bacterial small subunit ribosomal RNA", at positions 28 to 507 of the family's 1533-position model. The record is from RNAcentral.
GAUGAACGCUGGCGGCGUGCCUAAUACAUGCAAGUCGAGCGAACAGACGAGGAGCUUGCUCCUCUGACGUUAGCGGCGGACGGGUGAGUAACACGUGGAUAACCUACCUAUAAGACUGGGAUAACUUCGGGAAACCGGAGCUAAUACCGGAUAAUAUAUUGAACCGCAUGGUUCAAUAGUGAAAGACGGUUUUGCUGUCACUUAUAGAUGGAUCCGCGCCGCAUUAGCUAGUUGGUAAGGUAACGGCUUACCAAGGCAACGAUGCUUAGCCGACCUGAGAGGGUGAUCGGCCACACUGGAACUGAGACACGGUCCAGACUCCUACGGGAGGCAGCAGUAGGGAAUCUUCCGCAAUGGGCGAAAGCCUGACGGAGCAACGCCGCGUGAGUGAUGAAGGUCUUCGGAUCGUAAAACUCUGUUAUUAGGGAAAAACAAAUGUGUAAGUAACUAUGCACGUCUUGACGGUACCUAAUCAGAAAGCCACGGCUAACUACGUG